GGUGCUGGACCCGGGAGGACGCUCGGCCAGAGGAGCUCAGCGUUCAGAGGCAGCGGGGCGGGCGGUGGAUCAAGUCUGUCCAUCCUCUCCCUGGGACGCCCGACCCGCUCCGGGCACACCUCCCGCCAAGAACACCGGAAGAGGGCGCCCAAGCGCGCUCGCCCUAUCUGCUCUACUGACCGUCAGGCGGAAUCAAGCCCAACAGCCCUGCCAUGCAGGGCUGGCCAGAGCGGCUUGCAGGCCCUGUGGGGUUUCAGCUGUGCUUGCCCGGUACACGGCCCGGGCAUUUUGGAGACACUGGCACAACGUCCAGCCCUGGGCAAGGAAGCAGAGAACGAGGGGCUGGGGCUGAGACGUCUAGCGCCCCGCCCCCGCCAGAACUCCAAGUCCAGGGGCCCAGCACAGGGUUCCCAGGAAGAGUCGCCAUGGAGCUGGGGCUUGCGGGCCGUCGGGCGCUGGUCACCGGCGCUGGCAAAGGCAUCGGGCGCAGCUUGGUCCAGGCGCUGCAUGCGGCGGGCGUACGGGUGGUGGCUGUGAGCCGGACCCAGGCCGACCUGGAUAGCCUUGUCCGCGAGUGUCCUGGAGUGGAGCCCUUGUGUGUGGACCUGGCAGACUGGGAGGCCACUGAGCACACCCUGGGCAGCGUGGGCCCCGUGGACCUGCUGGUGAACAAUGCUGGCGUGGCACUGUUGCAGCCCUUCCUGGAGGUCACCAAGGAGGCCUUUGACACGUCCUUUGAUGUGAACCUGAGGGCUGUCAUCCAGGUGUCCCAGGGGCAUGAUUGCACGGGGAGCCCCCGGGGCCAUUGUGAAUGUCUCCAGUCAGGCCUCCCAGCGUGCACUUACCAAUCACACUGUCUACUGCUCUACCAAGGGUGCUCUGGACAUGUUGACCAAGGUGAUGGCCUUAGAGCUCGGGCCGUACAAGAUCCGAGUGAAUGCAGUAAACCCCACAGUGGUGAUGACACCCAUGGGCCAGGCCAACUGGAAUGACCCCCACAAGGCCAAAGGCAUGCUGGACCGCAUCCCACUUGGCAAGUUUGCAGAGAUGGAGAAUGUGGUGGACACCAUCCUUUUCCUGCUGAGUGAUCGAAGCAGCAUGACCACAGGCUCCACUGUGCCCGUGGACGGGGGCUUCCUAGCUACCUGAGCCCGCCCACUCAGCCCCAUACUUAGCCUUCCCCUGCCCUCCAAUAAACCUCAUUCUUCAGC
This is an RNA transcript of Marmota monax (woodchuck), 1211 nucleotides long. It is a transcript of the gene named L-xylulose reductase, with no coding region annotated. The record is from RefSeq and is a predicted model, not a curated record. The transcript has 9 exons. Lineage: Eukaryota; Metazoa; Chordata; Mammalia; Rodentia; Sciuridae.